CUACACACCAAGGCAGAGCAUUUCUAAGCCUGAAAAACAUGUGCUGACUAUUCCUCCCACAACUACUCCAAAGAUGGCCAAUCUGCACAGAUGUACUGGCCAGACAGCUGGCAUGUGUCAGGACUGAGAGCAGACACAGCACAUGCUUCUCCAUGUUAUCAGUAAUGUGGGAACUCGGAAGAGAGCCACUCCUCUUCUGCUGUCUCCAAAAUGCACGGUACACAAGGAGAAUGAGAUCUGGUCAUUAGACAGCUCCUUCAGCUGUUCUCUCAGUGAUGCUCUGGAUCCUGUUUCCUACAUUGCUGCCAGCUUUCAGGAUGAAAGAUCCUUCAGUAUAAAAGCAAAAU
Vidua chalybeata is the source of this 347-nucleotide long non-coding RNA. RefSeq lists it as uncharacterized. NCBI's taxonomy places the organism in Eukaryota, Metazoa, Chordata, Aves, Passeriformes, Viduidae. The transcript has 4 exons. The record is from RefSeq and is a predicted model, not a curated record.